This 301-nucleotide ribosomal RNA is filed under the name uncultured bacterium. RNAcentral's name for it is "partial 16S ribosomal RNA". It matches the Rfam family "Bacterial small subunit ribosomal RNA", at positions 509 to 808 of the family's 1533-position model. The record is from RNAcentral.
CAGCAGCCACGGUAAUACGUAGGGUGCAAGCGUUAAUCGGAAUUACUGGGCGUAAAGCGUGCGCAGGCGGUUAUAUAAGACAGAUGUGAAAUCCCGGGCUCAACCUGGGAACUGCAUUUGUGACUGUAUAGCUAGAGUACGGCAGAGGGGGAUGGAAUUCCGCGUGUAGCAGUGAAAUGCGUAGAUAUGCGGAGGAACACCGAUGGCGAAGGCAAUCCCCUGGGCCUGUACUGACGCUUAUGCACGAAAGCGUGGGGAGCAAACAGGAUUAGAUACCCGCGUAGUCCCUGUCUCUUAUACA